This 943-nucleotide ribosomal RNA is filed under the name uncultured Psychromonas sp. Its description in RNAcentral is "bacterial SSU rRNA". It matches the Rfam family "Bacterial small subunit ribosomal RNA", at positions 8 to 943 of the family's 1533-position model. Lineage: Bacteria; Pseudomonadati; Pseudomonadota; Gammaproteobacteria; Alteromonadales; Psychromonadaceae. The record is from RNAcentral.
AGAGUUUGAUCAUGGCUCAGAUUGAACGCUGGCGGCAGGCUUAACACAUGCAAGUCGAACGGUAACAGGAAAUAGCUUGCUAUUUUGCUGACGAGUGGCGGACGGGUGAGUAAUGCUUGGGAAUUUGCCUUGUUGUGGGGGACAACAGUUGGAAACGACUGCUAAUACCGCAUAAUGUCUUCGGACCAAAGGUGGCCUCUAUUUAUAUGCUAUCGCGACAAGAUGAGCCCAAGUGGGAUUAGCUAGUUGGUAAGGUAAUGGCUUACCAAGGCUUCGAUCCCUAGCUGGUCUUAGAGGAUGACCAGCCACACUGGAACUGAGACACGGUCCAGACUCCUACGGGAGGCAGCAGUGGGGAAUAUUGCACAAUGGAGGAAACUCUGAUGCAGCCAUGCCGCGUGUGUGAAGAAGGCUUUCGGGUUGUAAAGCACUUUCAGCGAGGAGGAAAGGGUGAUGGUUAAUAUCCAUCAUCUGUGACGUUACUCGCAGAAGAAGCACCGGCUAACUCCGUGCCAGCAGCCGCGGUAAUACGGAGGGUGCGAGCGUUAAUCGGAAUUACUGGGCGUAAAGCGCGCGUAGGCGGUUAAUUAAGUCAGAUGUGAAAGCCCAGGGCUCAACCUUGGAACUGCAUUUGAAACUGGUUAACUAGAGUUUUGUAGAGGGUGGUAGAAUUUCAGGUGUAGCGGUGAAAUGCGUAGAGAUCUGAAGGAAUACCAGUGGCGAAAGCGGCCACCUGGACAAAGACUGGCGCUGAGGCGCGAAGGCGUGGGGAGCAAACGGGAUUAGAUACCCCGGUAGUCCACGCAGUAACGAUGUCUAUUAGAAGUUUGUGGCUAUAUGCCGUGUGUUUCAAAGCUAACGCAUUAAUAGACCGCCUGGGGAGUACGGCCGCAAGGUUAAACUCAAUGAUUGACGGGGGCCCGCACAAGCGGUGGAGCAUGUG